Molecule: ribosomal RNA, 414 nt
Filed under: uncultured microorganism
Description: bacterial SSU rRNA
Rfam family: Archaeal small subunit ribosomal RNA
Source: RNAcentral
GUGCACCAGGCGAGAAAACUUCACAAUGUGCGAAAGCACGAUGAGGGAAUCCCAAGUGCUUGCACGUAAGUGUAAGCUGUUUCUCUGUCUAAAACGCAGAGAGAGUAAGGGCUGGGUAAGACGGGUGCCAGCCGCCGCGGUAAUACCUGCAGCUCGAGUGGUGACCGUUAUUAUUGGGCCUAAAACGUCCGUAGCCGGUUUAAUAAAUGCCUGGGUAAAUCGGACCGCUUAACGGUUCGAAUUCCGGGUAGACUGUUAAACUUGAGACCGGGAGAAGUUAGAGGUACUCCUGGGGUAGAGGUGAAAUUCUGUAAUCCUAGGGGGACCACCAGUGGCGAAGGCGUCUAACUAGAACGGGUCUGACGGUGAGGGACGAAGCCCUGGGGCGCAAACGGGAUUAGAUACCCGUGUAGU